UACGGAAGGUCCAGGCGUUAUCCGGAUUUAUUGGGUUUAAAGGGAGCGUAGGCCGCCUAGUAAGCGUGUUGUGAAAAAUACCGGCUCAACCGGUAUCCUGCAGCGCGAACUGCCUGGCUUGAGUGUGCGCAACGUUGGCGGAAUUCGUCGUGUAGCGGUGUAAUGCUUAGAUAUGACGAAGAACUCCGAUUGCGAAGGCAGCUGACGGGAGCACAACUGACGCUGAAGCUCGAAAGUGCGGGUAUCGAACAGG
This 253-nucleotide ribosomal RNA is filed under the name uncultured bacterium. Its description in RNAcentral is "partial 16S ribosomal RNA". It matches the Rfam family "Bacterial small subunit ribosomal RNA", at positions 524 to 776 of the family's 1533-position model. The record is from RNAcentral.